RNAcentral lists this ribosomal RNA (1439 nucleotides) under uncultured Bordetella sp. RNAcentral describes it as "partial 16S-23S ribosomal RNA intergenic spacer". It matches the Rfam family "Bacterial small subunit ribosomal RNA". Lineage: Bacteria; Pseudomonadati; Pseudomonadota; Betaproteobacteria; Burkholderiales; Alcaligenaceae. The record is from RNAcentral.
GGUUUGAUUCUGGCUCAGAUUGAACGCUGGCGGGAUGCUUUACACAUGCAAGUCGAACGGCACGACUUCUGGUCUGGUGGCGAGUGGCGAACGGGUGAGUAAUGUAUCGGAACGUGCCUAGUAGCGGGGAACUACGCGAAAGCGUAGCUAAUACGUACGCCCUUCAAAGGAAAGCGGGGAUUCCCGGGCCCCGCACUAUUAGAGCGGUCGAUAUCGGAAGAAGUAGUUGGUGGGUAACGGCUCACCAAGGCGACGAUUCGUAGCUGGUUUGAGAGGACGACCAGCCACACUCGGGACUGGACACACGGCCCAGACUCCUACGGAGGCAGCAGUGGGGAAUUUUGGACAAUGGGGAAAACCCUGAUCCACGCCAUCCCGCGUGUGCGAUGAAGGCCUUCGGGUUGUAAAAGCACUUUGGCAGGAAAGAAACGGCACGGGAUAAUACCCCGUGCAACUGACGGUACCUGCAGAAUAAGCACCGGCUAACUAUCGCACCAGCAGCUGCGGUAAUACGUAGGUGCAAGCGUUAAUCGGAAUUACUGGGCGUAAAAGCGUGCGCAGGCGGUUCGAAAGAAAGAUGUGAAAUCCCAGAGCUUAACUUUGGAACUGCAUUUUUAACUACUGAGCUAGAGUGUGGUCAGAGGGAGGUGGAAUCGCGUAGCAGUGAAAUGCGUAGAUAUGCGGGAGGAACACCGAUGGCGAAGGCAGCCUCCUGGGAUAACACUGACGCUCAUGCACGAGCGUGGGAGCAAACAGAUUAGAUACCCUGGUAGUCCACGCCCUAAACGAUGUCAACUAGCUGUUAGCCUUCGGGCCUUGGUAGCGUUAACGCGUGGUUGACCGCCUGGGGAUGGUCGCAAGAUUGGGAAACUCAAAGGAAUUGACGGGACCCGCACAAGCGGUGGAUGAUGUGGAUUAAUUCGAUGCAACGCGAAAACCUUACCUACCCUUGACAUGUCUAACCGAAGAGGGAACACAGGUGGCAAGCGUAUGGCUGUCGUCAGCUCGUGUCGUAGAUGUUGGGUUAAGUCCCGCAACGAGCGGCAACUCUAUUAGUUGCUACGAAAGGGCACUCUAUCGAGCACUGCCGGUGACAAAACCGGAGGAAGGUGGGGAUGACGUCAAGUCCUCAUGGCCUCUUAUGGGUAGGGCUUCACACGUCACAAGGGCUGGGUUUGUCCGGGACAGAGGGUCGCCAACCUGCGAGGGGGGAGCCAAUCCCAGAAACCCGAUCGUAGUCCGGACGUAGCUCCGCAACCCGACUGCGUGAAGCUCGAAUCAAGAAAAUCGUUGAUCAGCAUGUCGCGGUGAAUACGUUCCCGGAGUCUUGUACACACUGCCCGUCACACCAUGGGGAGUGGGUUUUACCAUGCAGUUAGCCUAACCGCAUGAGGGCGAUUACCACGGUAGGAUUCAUGAUCAGGUGAAGUCAACAAGGU